ACCAAGGCGACGAUCUGUACUUGGUCUGAGAGGAUGACCAGGCACACUGGAACUGAGACACGGUCCAGACUCCUACGGGAGGCAGCAGUGGGGAAUUUUCCGCAAUGGGCGAAAGCCUGACGGAGCAAUACCGCGUGAGGGAGGACGGCUUUUGGGUUGUAAACCUCUUUUAUCAGGGAAGAAUCGAUGACGGUACCUGAUGAAUCAGCAUCGGCUAACUCCGUGCCAGCAGCCGCGGUAAUACGGAGGAUGCAAGCGUUAUCCGGAAUUAUUGGGCGUAAAGCGUCCGUAGGUGGUUUAUCAAGUCUGCUGUCAAAGCGUGCGGCUUAACCGCAUAAGGGCAGUGGAAACUGAUGAACUAGAGUGCGAUAGGGGUAACAGGAAUUCCCAGUGUAGCGGUGAAAUGCGUAGAUAUUGGGAAGAACACCAGCGGCGAAAGCGUGUUACUGGGUCUGCACUGACACUGAGGGACGAAAGCUAGGGGAGCGAAAGGGAUUAGAUACCCCUGUAGUCCUAGCCGUAAACGAUGACAACUAGGCGUGGUUCGUAUCGACCCGAGCCGUGCCGUAGCCAACGCGUUAAGUUGUCCGCCUGGGGAGUACGCACGCAAGUGUGAAACUCAAAGGAAUUGACGGGGGCCCGCACAAGCGGUGGAGUAUGUGGUUUAAUUCGAUGCAACGCGAAGAACCUUACCAAGGCUUGACAUCCUCGGAACCCUGAUGAAAGUUAGGGGUGCCUUCGGGAGCCGAGAGACAGGUGGUGCAUGGCUGUCGUCAGCUCGUGUCGUGAGAUGUUGGGUUAAGUCCCGCAACGAGCGCAACCCACGUUUUUAGUUGCCAGCAUUCAGUUGGGCACUCUAGAGAGACUGCCGGUGACAAACCGGAGGAAGGUGUGGAUGACGUCAAGUCAGCAUGCCCCAUACGC
RNAcentral lists this ribosomal RNA (924 nucleotides) under Leptolyngbya sp. PCC 73110. RNAcentral's name for it is "bacterial SSU rRNA". It matches the Rfam family "Bacterial small subunit ribosomal RNA", at positions 267 to 1207 of the family's 1533-position model. Lineage: Bacteria; Bacillati; Cyanobacteriota; Cyanophyceae; Leptolyngbyales; Leptolyngbyaceae. The record is from RNAcentral. RNAcentral also lists the same sequence under 1 other name.